This 1349-nucleotide small RNA is filed under the name Histoplasma capsulatum. RNAcentral's name for it is "hypothetical RNA". Lineage: Eukaryota; Fungi; Ascomycota; Eurotiomycetes; Onygenales; Ajellomycetaceae. The record is from RNAcentral. RNAcentral also lists the same sequence under 1 other name.
AACGAUUUGUUUUGUGAAAAGAACCUUGAUUACAUCACCCAAAUAUGCCUAACUAUAUCUGAUAUGCAGGGAGUUGGCAUAAGCCGUGUUGCGUUGUGGCUCAACUUACUUACCCCUCCUCACGACGUCAGAUGCCGAACCGGCAGCAUGGAAUAUUAUUGGGAAAAGGAUUACGGAAACUCUUUUAUGACAGCAAUGCUAGCAACCAGGCCUUAAAUAAAGGAAAUGAUCCUGACCCUGGGCCGUCGCAUUGUAUCUGGGCAUUUUCUUAGAACGGGUUUAAUUAAUACUCGUACUCUCCAAAGACUCACAACGAUAAGAGUCCCCACGCUCCCAUCACGAAGACAGGUAUUCUAGGCUUCCGUACUGGCUGUCAGUCAAAUAUGCCAAUGUGAGUACAUCGCUGCUAUGUAUUUUUGUAAUUAAUUAAUUGUUGUCGAUAUAUGCAUACACCUCUAUAUAGACUCUCUCAGAUAUAUAUGCUCACCAUACUUCUCGCUCACCUCUAUAUCGAUUCGCCUCGUUUUCUCGAAGACAAAUUCACACGCCUGUCCCCAGCUAAUGAAAGCGUUAUUACGUCCCUAAUCACUAACUAAGAAAAUACACAGGAAACUCGACGGAAGCUGCCAAUGCGGUGGUGUACAAUUUACACUUGACUCGCAGACGCCAGUCCCCUAUCAACUCUGCGCCUGCAGCAUCUGCCGCAAGGUAGGCGGAUACAGCGGAAGCGUGAACCUGGGAGGAAUUGCCGACUCCCUCAAUGUGCUGCAGGGGAAAGAAUUGAUUAAAAAAUACACUGCCGUUAAAGACCGCGGCACGCCUCGCGAAGAACUCUGCUCCUCCGAGCGUAGCUUCUGCUCAAACUGCAGCACUAUGCUGUGGGUAUGGGACAAGCACUGGCCCGAGCUGAUACACCCGUUCGCCGCGGCGAUUGAUACCGAGCUGCCGGUGCCCGAGGAGAUGGUGUGUGUACUUGCGGACUCGAAGCCGGCUUGGGUGCGCUGGCCUGAGGGAAGGAAGAGCGUGCAUGAGAAGUAUGGUGGGGAUAGUUUGGAGGAGUAUCAUAAGAAGAAUGGGUUGUGGGUGGACUGAGUGAGAGAAAUGUAGAUUUUUUGAAGGGUUGAGACGGAACGGACGAGGUUGCUGGAUGUAGUGUGGAGUUUGGAAAGAGAACGUGGAAAUUUGGAGAUGUAAUUUUACAAAGUAUAUAUAUGUUUCAUUGCUCAUUAAAACUAUGAACUAUCUUAUGUAUGCAUGAUGCGUGAGUGAGUAUGCGACGAAACUGUUAUGCCACUCACCCAGAAUCAAAUAUGGGGCCUAAAUUGAAAUCUUUUACACCUGUUAGCAGC